GUGUUUAUAGCUCAGUGGAUAGAGUGCUUGUUUUCUAAGCAUGUAGGUAGUGGUUCAACCCCUGCCUAGCGCG
RNAcentral lists this transfer RNA (73 nucleotides) under Salix viminalis (osier). The record is from RNAcentral. Lineage: Eukaryota; Viridiplantae; Streptophyta; Magnoliopsida; Malpighiales; Salicaceae.